CUCUUUUUGUCAUAGCUCACGGGUAUAAGAGUUCUGUCAAUGAGACAAGGCAAGACAUGUUAGAAGGGGAGAAAAUGUAUUCACCCAGUCCAGCUGCUCAGACCUGCUCCGUGCUGGAAGCAGACAACAGGCAUUUCAGUUGCCUGGAAAGUAAGGGCAUCACUGGGCUGGAAGCCUACAGUGUACACAUUAGGCGUCCAUACCAGCCUGUGCCAUGGAGUCACAGAAGCCAUCCCCAACAAGGGUCCCACAUUCUACCCUGCAUGCACUGAAGGACACUGGAAAGUUCUGAGGGGGCAGAAGCAGGGCUAGGCCAUUGUGGGACAGGAAAGUGUGUACUGACCUUGCCCUCCCACCCUCCCUGUCCACUGUCGAUAACAGUGCUAGACUGUGGGAAGGGAAGGGUUUUCCCACCCCUGUGUGGUGUCAGUUAGAAGAGGAGCUCACCCAACCAACAGUAGCAGAGAGCCAUCCCAGGCCAUGGUCAUGGACCCCAGGGAGAAGCUACCAGAAACAAAGCAUCCUGGGAAAACCCACCUGCGCAUGUAGGGCGCACACAGUUUUAGGAGUCACUGCCCUCAAAGCCCACCUAUAGGCUCAGGAUUUAAAUUGGCCUGCCGGAGCGAGACAUGGUGGCAUGCAGCUAGAAUCACGUACUUGAAGGUAGAGGCAGAAAGAUUAGAAGUUUAAGACCAGCCUCAGCUACACAGUGAUUUUGCGGCCAGUCUAGGCUAUGAGAAACCUUGUCUCAGAAAACAAAGCUGAGGGCUAAAGAAACGUGGUUGGUGCUUAAAAUCAAUUUCUAUUCUUUGAAAGGAUGGGAGUUUGGCUCUCAGCACCCAUGGGUGUUCCAGCUGUAGGGCGUCAACACCUUCUUCUGGUUUUCACAGGUAAUUGUGUCUCUGUGCAUAGACACCCACAUAGACUACACAUAUAAAUAAAUAAUCAAUAUUUUCAUCAAGACCAAAGAAUAAAUAAACCGCUCUGGCUAGAGUGUAUAAAAGCAGCCAUUUUGGUGCUCUCUGUAAUAAUGUCUCCAUAUUUAAAACUUGUAUCCUUAAGGGAAAAGAUAUCUGCUUCCAAGAACAUCAGAAUUUGCAGCCCUCAGGGGCCAUGCAGAGAGACAGUGGCAGGAAGUUGUUUCACAGUUGACAGAGACACUGGACACUCAACGGAAGUCUCCAUGGCCCAAACCCGUGGGAACAUUGUCCUGUGAGAGGAAACCCCCAGUGACAUCAUGCCUUUGGCUAACAUCAGGUCACUUGUAGUAUAUAACAUUUUAAAGACAUUUGGUGUUCUAGAUGAUACUAGUGUAGAAAUAUUAAUUAGGUAAAAAAAAUAAUAGAGCACCCAAUUGUAAUAUAACCAACAAUGGUGGUACACACCUCUAAUCCCAACACUUGAGAGGAGGAAGGUGGAAGUUUGCAAGAUGAAGGGCAACCUGAGUAUACAGUAUUUAAUGAGAUGUGUCUCAAAAAAAAUCGUUUAAGUCUAAUUUAGUUUUCAAAGUAAGUUUGACAUUUAGUUGUAAAAUAAAAAAAAAAACAUAAAGAAAGAGAAGUAAAUUAUUAUCAAUUCCAAAGGUGAGUUCAUAGUGAAAGACCCCCUCCCAGAAAGGGAAUUGUACAAGCCCAAGGCCCUCAACUAUAGAAGUAAAAAGAAAGUUUUUAGAUACACAGACUCAGAACUAAAAUAAGCCUGGGAAGGUUCAGAUGUGUCCAAGCUUUGUGGGACAAGCUGACCCAUCAUUUAGACGAAACAGACCAUAAAAGAAAACAAAAUACAGAAACCAGUCUAAAUUAUUGAUAUUGCUUUAUGGGCCACCUAACAAGAGAUAAGCCUCUAGCCCCUGACAUUCCAGAUGCCCCAACCUGCACGUAUUCUCUUGCUGUGUGACAACCUCAUUUGAAUAGCCAAUUGGGUGUAACCAUACAUCCGCACCUCACUUGAAUCCACCAACCAUGCAUCUGCUUCUGUAAGCCUGCUUCUGCUCCCCAGUACCCUAUAAAAACCCGUCCGUCCCUGGUUCUGUUAGGCGCGCCAGUCUUCAGAAUUGACUGGGACGCCCACAGAUACCUGUGUAUCCUGAUCAGUAAAAAUCCUCUUGCAGAUUGCAGCCUGUGGACUCGGACUGGUCAUUGGGCUCGAGGAUCUCCCUCCUGAGGGAAGAUUCUCUCUGACAGUCUUACAUUAUGGGGGCUCGUCCGGGAUCAGAGAUCCUCUGCCUAGAGACCACCGACCACCCACUGGGAGUAACUGUUACAGGUCUUCUUUACCACCGAGGAAAGACAGAAUCCUACUAGAGGCCAGAAAGAUAAAUCCAGACAUGGAUGGAAGGCCCUCACUUCUGCCUGUUGACUUCAAUACGCCUAAAGGUAGGGAGUGCUCCAGGUCUGCCGCCAGACUCCAAGGGUGGGUCUCCGAGGGGCUGGAAAAUGCCCCACCAAUCUGGCUAAGGUAAGAAAAAGAUAUAAAGAAAAAGUUACAGAAAUUUGAAGGGUUAAGCUAAGUUGCUGAGAGUUAGUGUAAGUUACAGAGAAAGUAAAGUUGAAGUGUGGUUACAUAAGUGGACAGCAUCUAAUAGCUGUAGAGGAAGAUGCAGAAGAUAUGAGAGCGACUGAGAAAGAGAAAGAAAAAAGAAGGUAAAAAGAGCAGGAAGCUAAGGAAGAAAAGAGAAGAAGAAGCUAGAGAGCUAAAGAGGGAUAAAAGACAGGAGAGGAAUAUAUACUGGCCACAGUAGUUAGGGAACCUGGGAAGACAGUACCUGGCAACAGAAGAGAAUUCCUAGCUAAAGAUCAGUGUGCCUAUCACAAGGAAAAAGGAUACUGGGUGAGGGACUGCCCCAGAAAGAACAAGAGGGGUCUCUCCAGCAGCCCGGAAGGCAAGCCUCUUGGUACUAGAGUGCUGGCUAUAUACAGAGAUAGAAGGGAAGUGUGGCUACAGGGACCCAAUGCUCUGCUCCUAUGCCCCCCUAGUGGGGCCAAUAUCCAAAGACCUUGAGUGUAAGGGGCUACUGGCAAUGAACAAUACUCAUGGACUACCCGAAGAACAGUGGACCGUGGCGUGGGCCGGGUAUCCCACUUGUUCCUUGUGAUUCCAGACUGCCCCUACGAGUCUAAACCCUACAACCCUGCUCCUGGACCCCGACCUAGACACCCCCCUUCAUGACUGUCAGCAGGAGCUCACUAAAGAGUGGCAUAAAGAUCGGACUGAUCAGCCAGCAGAAGGGGUAGAUGUCAUCUGGUUCAUAGAAAAAGAUGGGCUGGGACAGCAGUGGUAGAUGGAAACAGAGUCAUUUGGGCUCAGGCCCUACCAGAAGACACCACUACUCAGGGGGUAGAGCUCGCUCCCCUCACCAAAGCCCUUGAGCUGAGAAAGAGACUUAACAUUUAUGUGGACAGCAGGUAUGCCUUUGCUACAGCCCAUCAGCAGAGGGGCCUGCUGACAUCUGAGGACAAGAAAAAGAGAUUCUGGCUAUGUUAAGGGCCCUCCAUGACCCAGCCAGGCCGAGGAAGAGACUCUGGUACACCUCAACGAGAAAGAAGAUCCUGCUACAAAAAUAGGCAGAGGCCAUGGUAAAACAAAUGCAUCAAUGGACUCACUUAGGGGUAAGCAAACUCAUCCAGACGUUUUCAAAAACUAAAUAUUAUGUCACAGGUCUCAAGUAUCUCGUGGAACAGAUAGUGCAGUGAUGUAUACCAUGCCAAAAGGUAACUGUUUUCAGGAAAGUUGACUGUGGUAGGAGACUCCGUGGGGAACGGCCUAGAUACUACUGAGAAGUGGACUUCACAGAGAUAAAACCAAAAAAAAUAUGAUUUCAAAUGUCUCCUAGUGUUUAUAGAUAUCUCUUCAGGAAUAGAUAGAAGCUUUCCCCACCAAGCAAGAGACGGCCUCAAUAGUCAUCAAGAAGAUACUAGAAGAAAUCUUCCACAGGUCUGGAGUGCCCAAGGUAAUCUGGUCAGACAACGGCCCUACUUUCGUUGCCAAGGUAAGCCAGGGUGUGGCCAAGUAUUUAGAGGUCGAUUGAAAAUUACAUUGUAUUUACAGACCUCAAAGUUCAGGACAGGUAGAGUAAAUAAAUAAAAUUUUAAAAGAGACCCUGACCAAAUUAACCAUGGAGACUGGCACAGAGUGAGUGACACUCCUUCCCUCUUGCUCUCUUCAGAGCAAGAAAUAUCCCUUCCAGAUUCAGCCUUAUCCCCUUUGAGAUCUUAUAUGGGGCCUCAGCUCCUCUGACUGUAUUAGAUGAUGUUAUUAAACCAACAUGUCAUAGUAAUAAUGAUUUAUGUGCCAGGCUAAAAGACCUACAGGUGAUACAGAAAGAAAACUGCUCACAGCUGACAGCAGCCUAUGCCCCGGGGACCCCUGAGACAUCUAUCUCAUCAGUUCCAGGUUGGAGACUGCAGCUACACGGAGCCCAGACACUUGAGCCUUGCUGGAAAGGACUGUACCUGGUGCUGCUGACCACCCUGACAGCCAUCAAUUCUCAGCCCUCACCAGCCACAUACUAGCUGUUGGGGCUGAGAGCUGGGACCUAGAGGGACACUCAGCAUGUUUGCCCUGGGUUCCAUCAAGAUAGGUGUAGAAAUAGGCUUGAUUUCUAUUACAAAUGAUGUAACAUUACAUAUGUUAGUACUCCUAACACUUCUUGGGACUGUGCCUCAGGGAUCACAACCUAUAUAAGUUUAGAAGUUCUAAAAGACCUUGGUGUAUAGGUUCAGAUAGUGUCCAGAUUGGAAUCCUGAUGCUAAAGACUUAAUAAGACACAAAAGAGAGUUAAGAAUUAUUUAAGGCGUCUCCAACGCGUGUGAAAGUUCGAGACAGCUGUGUCAUUCACUGGCAAUAAAAAGUAACAAGUGUCGACCAGCACGUGAAAGAAUAAACAAGACGUGACCCUGCAAUCCUGUGAGGCAUCAUUCCACGGACAAGGAAUGAAGUAAAAACACACCGCAAUGGGGACCGACCUCGGAAAGCUCGCUGAAAGCGGUUAGCCGGACAGAGAAGUGCCUUGUGAGGGCAGGGCCCAUCCAGAACAGGCAGAUCCGCAGACAGAAGGCAGUGUGGAGGAACGAAGAUCAAUGAAAACACAGCUUCAGUUUCGGUCUUUGAAAGUGUUGGGAAGAGCAGUGACGCCUACACUAAAUCAGAAAUCCACGUUGUGUCCUUGAAAAGUUCAACUGAAAGUUGUUUAAAUGAAAAAUUCGGUGUAAUAUAUUUUGUACUACAGAAAGAAAGAAAUAAAAGAAAACUUGAGCUGGGGAGAUGGCUCAGUGGUCAAGAGCACUGACUGGUCUUCCAGAGGUCCUGAGUUCAAAUCCCAGCAACCACACAGUGGCUCAUCUCUAAUGGGAUCUGAUGCCCUCUUCUGGUGUUUCUGAAGACAGCGACAGUGUACUUAUAUAUAAUAAAUAAAUCUUUAAAAAAAAAAAAAACUUUUUCGGUCCCCAGCUCUGAAAAAAAAAAUGAAAAAAAAAACUUUUAAGGGGGCUGGCGAGAUGAUCUUGGUAGAGAUCCUUGCUACCAAGCCUGGUGACCUGAUUUCAAUUGUGCCCUGGAGUGUACACACAUGCCAUAGCACAUGUGUGUAUGAAUGCACACACACAUACAAACUAAGUCAACUAAUGUCAUCAGCGUCUAAGAUUUAAAAGUAAAGCAGUGGUUGAAACAGAGAACCACCAUUUUUACAAGUUUCUGUUAGGGAGUAGACUUCUGUCACUGGCGUUUGGGCCCCCGUUGCUGUGGCCAAGGGUGGGUUACUGAACGCUCGUCUUAUUUUUAUGUUGAUUUCUAUUUGUGCAUGUAUAUGCCACAUGUGUGUGUGUGUAGGGGCUGGUAGAGGCCAGAAGAAUGUGCAUGAUCCUACAGAACUAGAGCUACAAGCGGUUGUGAGCACCUGACAUGGGUGCUGGGUUGGCCAGACUUGAUCCCUUGGCAGAGCCAUGUCUCCAGCGCAUUGAUACAUACUGUAAUGCAAGCCUCAUUGAAUGCUGUAGAAGCCGUGACAGGAGAUGGAGAGGUGAAGAUACAGAUAUCAACAGAUUCAAAGCUAGAGUCUUGAUGACCUUGGCCUUUGACUCCCUCAUUCCACUCUAAGAACAGACCUAGGCUGGAAAGAGUGACAAAGGCCAGACGUCUCCUAGGUCUGGAUCUGUCUGCCUAGGCCUCCAGCCCUUGGACAUCUGCAAAUCUGGGCAACAUCCACAAAGGGUGCAAAGGGUCCAGGAAGUUCCCACACAGAAAGCUUAGUCCAAAGCUGCAUUUUCUAUAGAAACUGGAGUUUAUAAGAACGGCUGACGUAAAGCUUGGGCAGGUUAGGCAAUUCCAGGAGCUACUUUGGAACAGAAUUGACAAAUAGAGUCUGGAGUAGUGCCAGGUGGGACGGGUGUUACAGAAGGAAAAGAAGAAAGGGCAUUCGAGCCUUCGCCAAGUGCUAGACUCACUGUACAGGCCAAGCGGAGAGAAGACCUAAAGUAUCUAUUGGGUUGAUGAGUUUGUGUUCAGAAUCUCACUCACCUCUCAUAGCAGAUCAGAACUGAGAACACAGAGACCUAACCCUCACUCUGGCACACACAGCUUACUAUAAGAGGGAAUGAGAGUCAGACCCCAGCAUUGGGUUCCUACCACCUGACCACCAGGAUCAACCUCACUCUUUUCUACCCUGGAUCCAUUGAUAACCACAGAAGAGGUUGUGUCAAAAUUCUGAUGAUCUGAGGACACUGAGUCACUAUAAUGUUGAGUUGGAAAAAAAAAAGUGAGACCCUGGGUUUAAUCCCAGCACUGCUAAGACAAAAAGAGAACAAUUUCUGUCCAUGCAAGACUCGGUUGGCCAGGGGUUGGGGAUUUGGCUCAGUGGUAGAGCGCUUACCUAGGAAGCGCAAGGUCCUGGGUUCGGUCCCCAGCCCCGGAAAAAAAAAAAAAAAAAAAGAAAAAAAAAAAAAAAAAAAGAAAGAAAAGACUCGGCUGGCCAAAGAAGAUAAACAGAAGCUGUCAGAAGCCUGGGAGGCUGGGAGUGGAGAGGCCAGCAUGGCCUCAGCUGCAGGUUCUUCACCAUCCAUUUAUUCAAAGCCUUUAGCAUCCACAACAAUCCAGCAGAAACCAUCAGCACAAGGCUUGCCCUGGCCUUGACUUCUACAGCGAAGCAGCACUGGGUUAGCACACAGGACACCCAGAAGGUCAUCCUCACACCACACCUCUCUCCCCUCCGCCUCACUCAGGCCACACCAGCUGUUACAAACAGAUAAAGUCAAGGCUACAGAGACCACCAGACCAGCCUCAAGAGUAGAUAGAUUACUGGAUAAACAUGCUUGUCUUUAGGAACCAGUGUGCAAUGGAGGCUUAAGAAUCAAGAGGCUAGGGUUUGGGGAUUUAGCUCAGCGGUAGAGCACUUGCCUAUCGAGCACAAGGCCCUGGGUUCAGUCCCCAGCUCUGGAAAAAAAAAAAAAAAAAAAGAAUCAAGAGGCUAGCCAAGCUUUAAAAAAAAACUUGCAAACAGAAAAGAAACUGAGCUGGAAGUGAACGACUGCCCGGGAAUGGGCAAGUGAGUGUGCGCGCUGCCCCUGGAUGGUGUGAGCGCUGCCACUGGAAGGUGUGCACACGGUGGGAUACUAGGAGCCUGGAAAGAAAGGCUAUACCAACGAUGUGACAGCAUGGAUGGACUUUGAGGAGAUUCUAUACUAUGUGAAGAAGAGUGGUCUUCAGAGGACAAAUACUGUGUGAUCCACUCUACCAGGUUUCUGCAGCCACGUUCCUAAAAAAAACAGGCGCUGACAGAAGGGUCUGAGGAGUGCGCGAUGGAUGAAGUCUUAGAUUUUAUUUAGUUGGUUUGAGUUUGUUCACUCAAACCUUGAUUUUUUAUUUAUUUAUUUUUUAUUUUUUUUUUUUGAUGGAGGUCUCACUAUGUUCCCAAAUCUGACUUAAAAUUCCUGAGCUCAAGGCUGGGCGGGGAGGUGCUCAAACUUUAAUCCCAGCACUUGGGAGGCAGAGGCAGGCAGAUCUCUGGGUUGAAGGCCAUGCAAGUCUGCUCAGCAUGUUCCAGGCCAGCGAGAGCUAGGAGCUGAGCUUCUACCAAAACAAAACAUGGAGUUCCUGAACUCUAGUGACACGCCCAUCUCAGCUUCCCAGGUCAGCUAACACAACAGUCAGGCACCAGCUUGAGAUGAAAAGCCACUGGGGACGGUUAGGUUACACGACACAUGAAUACGUUUAAUGUAAUUGAAAUGUAUCCAGAAAGUGGUAGAUUCUAUAUUAUAUAUAUUUUACCAUGAGAAACUGGACUAAAAACUUGCCCUACUCCUCUCCGAGAUCCAAAGUAGAUCAUACUUCAGACUCUGGUGCUGGUGAUGGCUCAGGGCAGGCACAGUCACUAGAGUAAUGGCAUCCUAUGCAGGGGGGAGGGGGGGACGACAGGGCAGGAUGUGUGGAGACAGAGGGUAUACGGGAAACCUCUGCGCCUAUGCUUAAUUUCCCUGUAAAUCUAAAACUGCCCUUUGUGUUGGAGACACAACUCAGAGACGGAGUGCUUGCUUGGCAGGCGUGAAAUCCUCGGUUCAAUGCUCAGUGUGCGUUUCCCCCAACAAGCAGUCCAUCACAUACUCAGUUGAUCUCAUUUGAACCCUCUCCCCAUUUUUAACUGGUCAAUAAAGGCUAGAGCCUGUGAUUGGACAGUGGAGGGGAAGAGUGGGACUGGAGGUGUGAAAGUGGGGUUAGGUAGAGGGAGAAGACUAUGAGAGAGGAAGGAGGGAAGACAGAGGAAGAGGAGGAAGCCAUGAUGGACCAGAACCACGAGGCCAGGAGAAACCAAAAGUAGCAAGAGGUCUCAUAGCUAGGGAAUAAAUUACUGUAGUGUUAGAUCUGCCCAAUCUAGGCUUAUAAUUUGUAAUUAUAAUAACAGGAUUGUGUGUUUUGUAUAAGGGCUUAUUGGGGUUGGAAAUUCCAGCAACGCAUCGGCACUCAUGUGCAUGAAUGAACACACACACACACACACACACACACACACACACACACACACAGAGAGAGAGAGAGAGAGAGAGAGAGAGAGAAAUGGCUAACACUGCCCUAAAAACAAGCAAAUAACAAUGAAAAGGGUGAGGGUGCUCGCCAUACAAACCUGGCAGCCUGAGUUCAGUUGCUUGAACAAAGUGAGCAAGUGAGAAGUUCCUACUGACAUUGCCCUCUGACCUCCGUACACACUUACCAUAAAGACUCACACCCUCCCUUAGCCCUCUCCCACUAAAGUUUAAAAAUAUGUGGGGCUGUAACUCAAUAAUGAGUGUGCUCGUUAGCACUCGUGAAGCCCUGAGUUCAGUCACCAGCACAGCAUAAAACAGUGCAUGGCUACCCAUGCCCAAAAUCCCAAUGUAUCAGGAGUGUAAGAUCCCCUCUGCUUCAAAAUAAUUCUGAGGCCAGCCAGGGAUACUCAAGACCUUUUUUCAAAAACAAACAAACAACAGCAAAGCCGUUGGCACCGUGGAACCUCCUAUAGUCCCAGUGUAAGAUCAAGCUGUGCCUAGGUUAGACCAUAUUAUGCAACAGGGUGGUUUUGAGGCCACACCUUGCUGUGGAAGAAUCCAUCUCAUAAGCCACGUUUGUGAUCAGAGGAAGAGACAGGACGAUUUUGCACGUAUGUGUGUAAACAACACCAUCCACCCAGCAGCACCCACAAGAUGCACUCUGCCGAACAACUUAAAAAUGGAAGGGAUUCUAUCCCAGGAGCUCACAAAUUGUGGAGAAAGAGAGCUGACUCCAGAGAGUUGUCCCCUGCCUCCGCGUGCACCACUCUCUCUAUAGCACACGUAACGUGCACACACUAAUGGUAUUUGUUAAGGGGGCAGGGCUGGAAGAGAACUCCUGACUAUCCCAGGGGCUUCAGCUUGUCUCAGUCCCUGCUGCUAAAUGGGUCCAUCUAGACCCACUCUGUAUUUAGCUUGUAUGGCUUCUGUAGUCUAACCCCUCAACUGGACAGCUCAACUCGACCCUGAAGUUGCACUCUAGCUGCACCUCUGACAGAUUCUCUUUGCAUCUGUGUGUUUCUGCUUGCCUACCUUCAACUCUUUGUCAACACUUCCCACUCUGCUGCAAUGGCAGCUUUUUAUGGCCAUUUUGUAAUCUACACACAUCAGAUUUCCUGUGUGAUGUGUUAAGAAAGUGUGACCUGAGAGUUAAUGGCAGUAAUUACAGUUGGAAUUAAAAACAAUCUGUUUGCCAGUGA
Non-coding RNA from Rattus norvegicus (Norway rat), 10207 nucleotides. NCBI's taxonomy places the organism in Eukaryota, Metazoa, Chordata, Mammalia, Rodentia, Muridae. The record is from RefSeq and is a predicted model, not a curated record.